Molecule: ribosomal RNA, 369 nt
Filed under: uncultured bacterium
Lineage: Bacteria
Description: bacterial SSU rRNA
Rfam family: Bacterial small subunit ribosomal RNA
Source: RNAcentral
AAAGCAACCUGACGGUACCAGAGGAAUCAGCAUCGGCCGCGUCGACGUGCCAGCAGCCGCGGUAAUACGUAGGUCCCGAGCGUUGUCCGGAUUUAUUGGGCGUAAAGCGAGCGCAGGCGGUUUGAUAAGUCUGAAGUUAGAGGCUGUGGCUCAACCCUAGUUCGCUUUGGAAACUGUCAAACUUGAGUGCAGAAGGGGAGAGUGGAAUUCCAUGUGUAGCGGUGAAAUGCGUAGAUAUAUGGAGGAACACCGGUGGCGAAAGCGGCUCUCUGGUCUGUAACUGACGCUGAGGCUCGAAAGCGUGGGGAGCGAACAGGAUUAGAUACCCUGGUAGUCCACACCUAGCACUCAUCGUUGUCGACGCGGCCG